RNAcentral lists this ribosomal RNA (471 nucleotides) under Triticum aestivum (bread wheat). RNAcentral describes it as "partial small subunit ribosomal RNA". The record is from RNAcentral. Lineage: Eukaryota; Viridiplantae; Streptophyta; Magnoliopsida; Poales; Poaceae.
AUGGUAUUUGUUAACCUGCCCAGUUUCGGCUUGCCCAAAGUAAUGAAUGUAUCUCCGCAACUGCCUUCUCCUGCACUUGUUGCUGUUGUUCCUUGCUCCUCCGCCAGAGUCGCACGUCACCACACGAAUUGUGCGGCCCAUACAAAGACACUUGAUGGCUCGUCCUGCAUUCCAGUCCCUUCAAUUCCGACACCAGACGAUCCUUUUAACUGCCGAACGGCUCGUCUUAUUACUUAUUGUGUUAGUGUAAGGUACAUCACAAAAAUGAAUGGUUGUGUGCAUCAUGAUGAUGCAGAGGCCAGAGCCUUCCCCUUUUCAACAGAAAAAAUGGAACAAAAAUGCAAGUGUGUGGUUUGGACUUUGGAGAGCACAAACACUUUGGUUACUUGUAUGGGCAUGGUUGGUUACCAAGGACAGUACUCCGGAGUGUUGCCCAGCCUUAAUGUCUGCCUCUCCUCUCCAGUUCAGUGA